AGUGAACGCUGGCGGCAUGCUUUACACAUGCAAGUCGAACGGCAGCGCGGGCUUCGGCCUGGCUGCCAGUGGCGAACGGGUGAGUAAUACAGCGGAACGUGCCCAUUUGUUGGGGAUAGCUCGGCAAAGGCCGGAUUAAUACCGCAUUCGACCUUAGGGUGAAAGCGGGGGAUCAUCGGACCUCGCGAUCUUGCACCGGCCGAUGGCGGAUUAGCUAGUUGGUGGGGUAAAGGCCUACCAAGGCGACGAUCCGUAGCUGGUCUGAGAGGACGACCAGCCACACUGGGACUGAGACACGGCCCAGACUCCUACGGGAGGCAGCAGUGGGGAAUUUUGGACAAUGGGCGAAAGCCUGAUCCAGCAAUGCCGCGUGUGUGAAGAAGGCCUUCGGGUUGUAAAGCACUUUUGGCGGGAAAGAAAAGGAGUGUGUUAAUACCACGGUGCGAUGACGGUACCCGAAGAAUAAGCACCGGCUAACUUCGUG
This 484-nucleotide ribosomal RNA is filed under the name uncultured bacterium. Its description in RNAcentral is "partial 16S ribosomal RNA". It matches the Rfam family "Bacterial small subunit ribosomal RNA", at positions 29 to 507 of the family's 1533-position model. The record is from RNAcentral.